GGAGAACCCUGCAAAAUGUAAUCAUGUCAUUUGGAUCAAAUCAUGAAGCUUUCAAAAAUAAAGGAAAAUACAUUGCUCUUUCCCCUUCCCCACCAGCACUACAAUACUGAAUUAACACAUAAAUGAUCUGCUGGCCAGAGCAGAAUAUGGACCACAGAUGUUAACAACCUGGCACCGCUUGUUGUUUCUCAGUGUUGCAGGAGACAGUUUGUCCUGACUGAAUUCCCAAUGACGUGAAAAGACUGACCAAGUCCAGGCAUUUGAACCAAUUAUUAACUUCAAAUGAUGAGUGCUCAGCUACCUGACAGAUUCCAGUUUGGAAAAAUCCAUCUUUCCAGGAGUGAUGGAGCAGAUGUGUCUACUUUAGCAAUGGGCAGCCUAGAAGAUGGACAUUUGACAGGCGACAAUAGACUGCUCCUUUCCCAGAGGGAUCAGCCAUGUAUCACUCAUGUAACUGAAGAUACUGACCUAAGCCUGAUACAAAGCCUGUUGAAGCCAACAGCAAAUCUCUUAUUGAUUUUCAGCGGCUUUCUCCUGUGAGUCCAUCAAUUUUGAUUCAUAUUUUGAGAACCUAUACUUUAUUUCAACAAGAAAGUUACAUUGCCAGGUGAACCAUGCUGAGGUCCAAGUGCCCUAAAGCUUCAUGUUGCAUCAGUGGCUCCAAGUGAUCUCAAAAAUCUAUGUUUUGUCCUGUGCCAGGAUUUGAAAUUUCUAAUGCUGUAUUGGUAUUUUUUGCUGACUUAUUAUAAAGAUGACUAUGAGUAAAUAUCAGCAAAUUUCCUGGAUAUUAUUAUUUUUAUUAUUUUUUCUAAAAAGGACUAUGAUACAACAGUGGUCACAUUCAGUUUAGUCCAAAGAUCAAUUUUAAACUCAAUAGCUCGUGAUCUUUCAUGAUCUAGAAACUGCUGAUUUCAAAGUUUUUGCAGUGGGAUUUAGAACGGCUGUGACUUAUCUUUAAUUCAUUGUGAAUUUCAGGUAAUCCCAAAUGUCCUCAAAAUGAACAUUUUUAAGCAGGAAUGCUCACAGGAAAUAUCAGUAGCUACUGAGAAGUAAGAUUAGAGUCUGAUCAUACUCCAAUUGCAGCCAUUAUAUCAGAUUGGACUAAAUGUGAGCAGUAUAAAAACAAGUAUUCUAAUAUGACAUUACAUGAGCCCUCUUAACAGCAUGUUAGAGCCCAUCACUUGGACCACUGUGUGUUAUUGAAGAAACUUGAGAUGGGGAUGAUCUAAUCUGAUCUAUA
RNAcentral lists this long non-coding RNA (1240 nucleotides) under Parus major (Great Tit). Its description in RNAcentral is "lncRNA (ENSPMJG00000016670.1)". The record is from RNAcentral. Lineage: Eukaryota; Metazoa; Chordata; Aves; Passeriformes; Paridae.